RNAcentral lists this small RNA (105 nucleotides) under Arabidopsis thaliana (thale cress). RNAcentral describes it as "ATSL281430". The record is from RNAcentral. Lineage: Eukaryota; Viridiplantae; Streptophyta; Magnoliopsida; Brassicales; Brassicaceae.
UUAUAUGUAAAACUUAAGACUUCCCCUUUUUCUAAUAGAAGGAUAAAAACCAUAUUCGCCAAAACUACAAUACACUAAUAUAAAAAGACAAAGAUGUAAUAAAAU